This 434-nucleotide unclassified non-coding RNA is filed under the name soil metagenome. RNAcentral's name for it is "partial contains 5.8S ribosomal RNA, internal transcribed spacer 2, and large subunit ribosomal RNA". The stretch from base 1 to 120 matches the Rfam family "5.8S ribosomal RNA", at positions 35 to 154 of the family's 154-position model. The record is from RNAcentral.
GAUGAAGAACGCAGCGAAAUGCGAUACGUAAUGUGAAUUGCAGAAUUCAGUGAAUCAUCGAAUCUUUGAACGCAUAUUGCGCUCUUUGGUAUUCCGAAGAGCGUGCUUGUUUGAGUAUCAGUAAACACCUCAAAGCUUUUGGAUUUUUUAAUCGAAAAGCUUUGGACUUGAGCAAUCCCAACACCAAUCUUUUUGAGAUCGGUGGCGGGUUGCUUGAAAUGCAGGUGCAGCUGGACAUUCUCCUGAGCUAAAAGCAUAUUCAUUUAGUCCCGUCAAACGGAUUAUUACUUUUGCUGCAGCUAACAUAAAGGGAGUUUGACCGUAUUGGCUGACUGAUGCAGGAUUUCACAAGGGUCGGCAACGAUUCUUGUUAAACUCGAUCUCAAAUCAAGUAAGACUACCCGCUGAACUUAAGCAUAUCAAUAAGCGGAGGA